AGUGAACGCUGGCGGUAGGCCUAACACAUGCAAGUCGAACGGCAGCACAGUAAGAGCUUGCUCUUACGGGUGGCGAGUGGCGGACGGGUGAGGAAUACACCGGAAUCUACUUUUUCGUGGGGGAUAACGUAGGGAAACUUACGCUAAUACCGCAUACGACCUACGGGUGAAAGCAGGGGAUCUUCGGACCUUGCGCGAUUGAAUGAGCCGAUGUCGGAUUAGCUAGUUGGCGGGGUAAAGGCCCACCAAGGCGACGAUCCGUAGCUGGUCUGAGAGGAUGAUCAGCCACACUGGAAUUGAGACACGGUCCAGACUCCUACGGGAGGCAGCAGUGGGGAAUAUUGGACAAUGGGCGCAAGCCUGAUCCAGCCAUACCGCGUGGGUGAAGAAGGCCUUCGGGUUGUAAAGCCCUUUUGUUGGGAAAGAAAAGCAGCAGGUUAAUACCCCGCUGUUCUGACGGUACCCAAAGAAUAAGCACCGGCUAACUUCGUG
Molecule: ribosomal RNA, 492 nt
Filed under: uncultured bacterium
Lineage: Bacteria
Description: partial 16S ribosomal RNA
Rfam family: Bacterial small subunit ribosomal RNA
Source: RNAcentral